Molecule: non-coding RNA, 113 nt
Organism: Acanthosepion pharaonis
Lineage: Eukaryota; Metazoa; Mollusca; Cephalopoda; Sepiida; Sepiidae
Source: the annotation of a GenBank genome assembly
UAUGGCCACAUCACAUUGAAACACCAGUUCCCAUAUGAUCACCAAAGUUAAGCAAAGUCAAGCCUGGUCAGUACCUAGAUGGGUGACUUCUUGGGAAUACCGGGUGCUGUAAG